RNAcentral lists this ribosomal RNA (115 nucleotides) under uncultured bacterium. RNAcentral describes it as "partial 16S ribosomal RNA". The record is from RNAcentral.
CACACUGCGGUGAAUACGUUCCCGGGUCUUGUACACACCGCCCGUCAAAACCAUGAAAGUCACCAACCAACCCGAAGUCCGAUUCGUCGGCCUAAGGUGGGGGGAUGAUUGGGUU